RNAcentral lists this ribosomal RNA (402 nucleotides) under uncultured bacterium. RNAcentral's name for it is "bacterial SSU rRNA". It matches the Rfam family "Bacterial small subunit ribosomal RNA", at positions 11 to 417 of the family's 1533-position model. The record is from RNAcentral.
GUUUGAUUCUGGCUCAGGACGAACGCUGGCGGCGUGCCUAACACAUGCAAGUCGAACGGUAAGGCCUUUCGGGGUACACGAGUGGCGAACGGGUGAGUAACACGUGGGUGAUCUGCCCUGCACUUUGGGAUAAGCCUGGGAAACUGGGUCUAAUACCGAAUAGGACCAUGGACUUCACGGUUUGUGGUGGAAAGCUUUUGCGGUGUGGGAUGGGCCCGCGGCCUAUCAGCUUGUUGGUGGGGUAAUGGCCUACCAAGGCGACGACGGGUAGCCGGCCUGAGAGGGUGACCGGCCACACUGGGACUGAGAUACGGCCCAGACUCCUACGGGAGGCAGCAGUGGGGAAUAUUGCACAAUGGGCGCAAGCCUGAUGCAGCGACGCCGCGUGAGGGAUGACGGCCU